RNAcentral lists this long non-coding RNA (1496 nucleotides) under Heterocephalus glaber (naked mole-rat). Its description in RNAcentral is "lncRNA (ENSHGLG00100046729.1)". The record is from RNAcentral. Lineage: Eukaryota; Metazoa; Chordata; Mammalia; Rodentia; Bathyergidae.
CGGGCGCUGAGGCCAGACUCACAGGAGGCCUCACAGUGACGAGACAGGGACAUCACUCUGGGACAUGUGCAGCAGGACAGGCUCAUCUUGAGGUCGGCCACAUGGACAGAAGCAGUGAUUCGGGAAGGGCUUGCAGCUGUCGGGGCCGUCAGUGGGCAGUGGUGGCCAUGUCCCCUGAGACUGAGCACAGGCCUGAAAUCCCAGCACCCUGGGAGGCAGAGGCAGGAAGACCUCAGGUUCAUGACCAGCCUGGACAACUUAGUGACUGACUGAGACCUUGUCUUAAAAUGAAGCAAAAAAGAAAAUAAAGCUGGGGUUGUAGCUCAAUGUGAAGGCCCUGGGUUCAAUCUCUCAUACUGAAAAGAAAAAUCCCCUCAAAAGGGGUCAAAGGUUUAACAGUAACACUACAAAACAUUUAGAAAAGAAAAUGUAAGAGUCAAUCUUUGGGACCUAAGAACUUGGUGAAGGGUUCUUAGAUGUGGCUUUGAAAGCACAAUUCCUAACAGAAAAAAUAAGAUGCGUUUCAUCAAAAGUAAGAACCUUUGUACUGUGCAGAAGUUCAGAGGGUAGAAGGCGAGCAUGGACUGGCAGAAAAUCCAUGCAGAGUCGUGUCCCACGCACAGGGCUCGAGUCUGGAGCACAGGAGGAGCUACGGACUCCACAGUGCCAAACAGUUCCCAUUGGGCAGCGGGAAGCGGCCAGCAAACAGCGCCACAGAGGAGGAGGGCAGGUGACGAACAAGUUCAUGGAGAAGGUGCAGCAGUGUUAGGAUCAGGGAAAUGCAGAUGAACAGCAGGGAGGUGGCAGGACAUCUCUGUCAGAGCAACUGAAAUAGCAGUACGGGCAACAAUGAGAAGGGGGCUGCACUGGAGGCCUUCUAGAGAACACUUGACCAAUGCUCCACAAAACAGCAGAACAGAGGUGAGGUCAUCGCAGCAAAGGCUGGUGGGCUGUGGAGAAGCUGAUCUCUCUCUCUGACGGGUGUGGAAAGUGGCAUGGCUACUCUGCAAAAGUUUGGCAGUUUCCUUAAAACAAGGAGUGUGCGUUUGACCCAGCAGUUCCUCUCCUGGGAAUUCUUCGAAGGGGAACAAAAACUUAUGUUCCACCCCAAACCUGAGCACAUGUUCAUGGUCACUUCCUGGGUGAUGUCCCCAAACUAGAAACCCAGACGCCCUUCCGUGGGUGAGUGAGUAACCAUGAUGGGAACACUAGUCAGCCAUAAAAAGGGACAGGCUGUGGAUGCGCAGGACAACUGGGAUGGAUCUCAGAGGCAUUGUGCAGAGUGAGAAAGCCAGUCUUGGACAGUUCCAUGGAACAUUCCUAAAGUUAAGGACAAAAUUAUGGAAAGAAAGUACUGGUUGCAAGGGUUAGGGAUGAGGAAGGGCGAAAAGGGAGAUGGCCUUCCUGUCCCACAGGAGGACACAGCAAGAGGCAGGGCUGGAACCAGCCAGGGUCUCUGACUUCAGGCUGCCCGGCUGCAGCCGCCAGGAGUGAGC